Molecule: long non-coding RNA, 492 nt
Organism: Mya arenaria
Lineage: Eukaryota; Metazoa; Mollusca; Bivalvia; Myida; Myidae
Exons: 3
Source: RefSeq, a predicted model, not a curated record
GAUCAUUGGAAUGAAUCAAGGUCUGUUUUCAUAUAUCAUGUGUUAUAUGAGUGGAAACAUUCACAGGGCAAAAAUGCAACCCUUUCAAGUUUGAAGAGGAAGGUCUUUGCUGUCCAUAAGAAUUCAGAUAUUGAUCUUGUCAGCAUUUUCAGAUGCCUUGGGACAAGAAGCCAAGAAGAAACUGGAGAUCAGGAUGAUGAAGCGCCAGAGAGCUCUGAGAUGGACACAUAAACUGGAGCUCUAGGCACUUCCGAAUAAGUUACGUGGGAACAGUAAACACAGUUGUGUACACUCAUGAAAAAACAUGGCUGUGUCGUGUUCAGUGUUUGUAUUGGCUACAGACAUAACAUUUUGUCUAGCUCCAGUUAUAGAGUAGUGAAAGUGGUCUAGAGUGUAAGGUUUUCGUGAAGCGGGAAAUCACCCGUCUAAUCAUUGUGAUGUAAGAACUCGUCAGUCUGUUUUACAGUUGGCACAUUCAUGCUUUUGCUAUUG